GGUGACAAUGCAGCAAAAUCCGAGGGCUCAAACAAUGUGGUCCCUCCAUCCCCGGUUCCAGGGCAUUCUGAUUGCUCUGUCGGUUUGACGUGCCGGCCACUUGGCUGAUUUUCAGAGCCAUGAUGCGCGGUGUCUCUGUCUUGCACACAGAGGCUGGGCACCAUAACUUCUUCCCUGCCGAAUUUCAGCGCGUAGGGGGAGCUGGCAGGGACACAGGCUGCAGAGAUGCCCGGCUUCCUGUGGUUCCGGGCACAGCGCGCCUCAGUCUGCAUUGGGCUGACACCAGAUAGCAUGUGGGGAUUUUCCUAGUUGCCGAAGAAGAUAUUAUUUGACGUUGCUGUAGUUCUGUGCUUACUUCUCUUGGAAUCUGCAGUGGUGCAAUUCUCCCCUUGUUUUUCCCCCCUUCUCUUUGAAAAGAUAUCAAUGCUAUGUUCAGCAGAAAUGGAUACAGCAAGAGCAGCAUAGUUCAAAAACUGAGGGAGGCAUCUUCUCUCUUUUCCUGGGAUUUAAACGCGAUUUAGGAGGGCAGAUGCCCUACCCGAGAAGGCCAACCUUUAAAGACCCCGGCAGUGUUGUGGUCCAAGGCGUCUCAAAGCAGGUGGGCAGAUCUGCGUUUCUCAUCAGCGGACUCGCUCCGGCUGUGGCUAUUACGAAUCUGUACCAGAACAGAUUUUUAGGCCUGGCCGCCAUGGCGUCUCCUUCUAGAAACUCCCAGAGCCGACGCCGGUGCAAGGAGCCGCUCCGAUACAGCUACAACCCCGACCAGUUCCACAACAUGGACCUCAGGGGCGGCCCCCAUGAUGGCGUCACCAUUCCCCGCUCCACCAGCGACACUGACCUGGUCACCUCGGACAGCCGCUCCACGCUUAUGGUCAGCAGCUCCUACUAUUCCAUCGGGCACUCUCAGGACCUGGUCAUCCACUGGGACAUAAAGGAGGAAGUGGACGCUGGGGACUGGAUUGGCAUGUACCUCAUUGAUGAGGUCUUGUCUGAAAACUUUCUGGACUAUAAAAACCGUGGAGUCAAUGGUUCUCAUCGGGGCCAGAUCAUCUGGAAGAUCGAUGCCAGCUCGUACUUUGUGGAACCUGAAACUAAGAUCUGCUUCAAAUACUACCAUGGAGUGAGUGGGGCCCUGCGAGCAACCACCCCCAGUGUCACGGUCAAAAACUCGGCAGCUCCUAUUUUUAAAAGCAUUGGCACUGAUGAGACUGUCCAAGGACAAGGAAGUCGGAGGCUGAUCAGCUUCUCUCUCUCAGAUUUCCAAGCCAUGGGGUUGAAGAAAGGGAUGUUUUUCAACCCAGACCCUUAUCUGAAGAUUUCCAUUCAGCCUGGGAAGCACAGCAUCUUCCCCGCUCUCCCUCACCAUGGACAGGAGAGGAGAUCCAAGAUCAUAGGCAACACCGUGAACCCCAUCUGGCAGGCCGAGCAAUUCAGUUUUGUGUCCUUGCCCACUGACGUGCUGGAAAUUGAGGUGAAGGACAAGUUUGCCAAGAGCCGCCCCAUCAUCAAGCGCUUCUUGGGAAAGCUGUCGAUGCCCGUUCAAAGACUCCUGGAGAGACACGCCAUAGGGUAAACCUGUGACUGAGAUCUUACUAUCACUAGGUUCCCGCCAACAUGCCGUGCCCAAAGGUGGCCUGUAGGCUGCAAUAGUAUAGUCUCACAGAGAGUCAAAAUGUUAUCAUUAUAUGUCCUUGGCUUUUCCUACUAAUUAUGUUGCCUGAGCCAACAUAAGUGUUUGUUAGAUUAAACAAACCCAUCCCUUUUCACUUGAUUGUGUAACACUGGUUACUUACCCAAGAGAGUAAAAAAUCCUAUUGAAAGUAUUAAACAGUAUUAAAAGAAGCCCUCAAUGGGGCAUUUUUCUGUACAGAUAGAAACUAAAGUUUGUUUUACUAUGAAGAAUAUUAUUUCAUUCAUAUGCCGGUCUGGUAUGUAAGAUUUAAUCAUAUGUGACAUUUCCAUAACAAGAUGAAAUACUGGGUAACUACUGUAGAGUGUCUUACUUAGAAGACACUAGUAUCUGCAGAUGCUAGAUAACAUGGAUGAGAAUUUGAAAGCAUGAUUCUCAUGGAAUGACAGCAGUUAAGAUGCUCACAAAAUUCAGUUGUAUAUGAGAAUGGGUUUCUGUUUUGUCUCUUUUACAUUCAUGUCCACUCAUGGUUCUCAUUAAAGUGGACUAUGACCAGAU
This 2188-nucleotide small RNA is filed under the name Pongo abelii (Sumatran orangutan). RNAcentral describes it as "processed transcript". Lineage: Eukaryota; Metazoa; Chordata; Mammalia; Primates; Hominidae. The record is from RNAcentral.